This 76-nucleotide transfer RNA is filed under the name Klebsiella pneumoniae. RNAcentral describes it as "tRNA-Leu". RNAcentral also lists the same sequence under 1 other name. The record is from RNAcentral. Lineage: Bacteria; Pseudomonadati; Pseudomonadota; Gammaproteobacteria; Enterobacterales; Enterobacteriaceae.
UCCCCGUUAGGCUUAGUGGUAAGUGACCCAUAGCAGGCAUGUUAUGAUACAGGUUCGACUCCUGUACGGGGAGCCA